CAUUGUCUCUAAAACACACUCAUGGUAAGAGUGACAACUGGCUUGUGGCAGCCAGGCAUUCAUAGUGCCUUUUGAUCCUUCGAUGUCGGCUCUUUCUAUCAUACUGAAGCAGAGUUCAGUAAGCGUUGGGUUGUGUCAUCCACUAAUAAGGAGCAAGACCUGGCGUUUAGACCGUCGUGAGACAGGUUAGCAUCACCCUACUGAUGAAAUGCUGUUGCAAUAAUAUUUGAAACUUAGUACGAGGGGAUUCAUUCGGAUAAUUAGUAUUUGGGCCUGCCUGAGCAGGCAAUGGCCCGAAGUCCUCAUCCAUUUGGAUUAUUCCUGGAUACCUCCAAGUCGAAACCCGUGCUAGAACGCGACAAUUACCGCCUUUUCCGAUUUUUAAUUGGUUACGAAUAGAUCUUCGGAUCCUGAGUCAUGCUACAAGGGGUUGAUCUUGCAGAGUGGAAAGGCUUUGUGAGGUUCCUGCUAGUGUUAAUUUCAAAAACAGGGUUGCAGCUCAGAGAGAAAAUCGGGACUGAGUUGAGGUCGUUGAUACCGACCCAGUUGU
RNAcentral lists this non-coding RNA (550 nucleotides) under Linnemannia elongata AG-77. RNAcentral's name for it is "Mortierella elongata AG-77 Eukaryotic large subunit ribosomal RNA". It matches the Rfam family "Eukaryotic large subunit ribosomal RNA", at positions 2415 to 3353 of the family's 3401-position model. Lineage: Eukaryota; Fungi; Mortierellomycota; Mortierellomycetes; Mortierellales; Mortierellaceae. The record is from Rfam by way of RNAcentral.